AUUGAACGCUGGCGGCAGGCCUAACACAUGCAAGUCGAACGAGUGGCGGACGGGUGAGUAAUGUCUGGGAAACUGCCUGAUGGAGGGGGAUAACUACUGGAAACGGUAGCUAAUACCGCAUACCCUCGGAUGUGCCCAGAUGGGAUUAGCUAGUAGGUGGGGAAAAGGCUCACCUCGGCGACGAUCCCUAGCUGGUCUGAGAGGAUGACCAGCCACACGGGAACGGAGAAACGCCCCAGACUCCUACGGGGGGCAGCAGGGGGGAAUAUUGCAAAAUGGGCGAAAUCCUGAGGAAGCAAUGCGGCGUGUAGGAAGAGGGCUUUCGGGUUGUAAGGUACGUUCAGCGGGGAGGCGGUACCGGCAGAGGAAGCAACGGCUAACUCCGUGCCAGCAGCCGCGGUAAUAC
Molecule: ribosomal RNA, 406 nt
Filed under: uncultured bacterium
Lineage: Bacteria
Description: partial 16S ribosomal RNA
Rfam family: Bacterial small subunit ribosomal RNA
Source: RNAcentral